This 2902-nucleotide ribosomal RNA is filed under the name Shigella flexneri. RNAcentral's name for it is "23S ribosomal RNA". It matches the Rfam family "Bacterial large subunit ribosomal RNA". Lineage: Bacteria; Pseudomonadati; Pseudomonadota; Gammaproteobacteria; Enterobacterales; Enterobacteriaceae. The record is from RNAcentral.
GGUUAAGCGACUAAGCGUACACGGUGGAUGCCCUGGCAGUCAGAGGCGAUGAAGGACGUGCUAAUCUGCGAUAAGCGUCGGUAAGGUGAUAUGAACCGUUAUAACCGGCGAUUUCCGAAUGGGGAAACCCAGUGUGAUUCGUCACACUAUCAUUAACUGAAUCCAUAGGUUAAUGAGGCGAACCGGGGGAACUGAAACAUCUAAGUACCCCGAGGAAAAGAAAUCAACCGAGAUUCCCCCAGUAGCGGCGAGCGAACGGGGAGCAGCCCAGAGCCUGAAUCAGUGUGUGUGUUAGUGGAAGCGUCUGGAAAGGCGUGCGAUACAGGGUGACAGCCCCGUACACAAAAAUGCACAUACUGUGAGCUCGAUGAGUAGGGCGGGACACGUGGUAUCCUGUCUGAAUAUGGGGGACCAUCCUCCAAGGCUAAAUACUCCUGACUGACCGAUAGUGAACCAGUACCGUGAGGGAAAGGCGAAAAGAACCCCGGCGAGGGGAGUGAAAAAGAACCUGAAACCGUGUACGUACAAGCAGUGGGAGCACGCUUAGGCGUGUGACUGCGUACCUUUUGUAUAAUGGGUCAGCGACUUAUAUUCUGUAGCAAGGUUAACCGAAUAGGGGAGCCGAAGGGAAACCGAGUCUUAACUGGGCGUUAAGUUGCAGGGUAUAGACCCGAAACCCGGUGAUCUAGCCAUGGGCAGGUUGAAGGUUGGGUAACACUAACUGGAGGACCGAACCGACUAAUGUUGAAAAAUUAGCGGAUGACUUGUGGCUGGGGGUGAAAGGCCAAUCAAACCGGGAGAUAGCUGGUUCUCCCCGAAAGCUAUUUAGGUAGCGCCUCGUGAAUUCAUCUCCGGGGGUAGAGCACUGUUUCGGCAAGGGGGUCAUCCCGACUUACCAACCCGAUGCAAACUGCGAAUACCGGAGAAUGUUAUCACGGGAGACACACGGCGGGUGCUAACGUCCGUCGUGAAGAGGGAAACAACCCAGACCGCCAGCUAAGGUCCCAAAGUCAUGGUUAAGUGGGAAACGAUGUGGGAAGGCCCAGACAGCCAGGAUGUUGGCUUAGAAGCAGCCAUCAUUUAAAGAAAGCGUAAUAGCUCACUGGUCGAGUCGGCCUGCGCGGAAGAUGUAACGGGGCUAAACCAUGCACCGAAGCUGCGGCAGCGACGCUUAUGCGUUGUUGGGUAGGGGAGCGUUCUGUAAGCCUGUGAAGGUGUGCUGUGAGGUAUGCUGGAGGUAUCAGAAGUGCGAAUGCUGACAUAAGUAACGAUAAAGCGGGUGAAAAGCCCGCUCGCCGGAAGACCAAGGGUUCCUGUCCAACGUUAAUCGGGGCAGGGUGAGUCGACCCCUAAGGCGAGGCCGAAAGGCGUAGUCGAUGGGAAACAGGUUAAUAUUCCUGUACUUGGUGUUACUGCGAAGGGGGGACGGAGAAGGCUAUGUUGGCCGGGCGACGGUUGUCCCGGUUUAAGCGUGUAGGCUGGUUUUCCAGGCAAAUCCGGAAAAUCAAGGCCGAGGCGUGAUGACGAGGCACUACGGUGCUGAAGCAACAAAUGCCCUGCUUCCAGGAAAAGCCUCUAAGCAUCAGGUAACAUCAAAUCGUACCCCAAACCGACACAGGUGGUCAGGUAGAGAAUACCAAGGCGCUUGAGAGAACUCGGGUGAAGGAACUAGGCAAAAUGGUGCCGUAACUUCGGGAGAAGGCACGCUGAUACGUAGGUGAAGCGACUUGCUCGUGGAGCUGAAAUCAGUCGAAGAUACCAGCUGGCUGCAACUGUUUAUUAAAAACACAGCACUGUGCAAACACGAAAGUGGACGUAUACGGUGUGACGCCUGCCCGGUGCCGGAAGGUUAAUUGAUGGGGUUAGCGCAAGCGAAGCUCUUGAUCGAAGCCCCGGUAAACGGCGGCCGUAACUAUAACGGUCCUAAGGUAGCGAAAUUCCUUGUCGGGUAAGUUCCGACCUGCACGAAUGGCGUAAUGAUGGCCAGGCUGUCUCCACCCGAGACUCAGUGAAAUUGAACUCGCUGUGAAGAUGCAGUGUACCCGCGGCAAGACGGAAAGACCCCGUGAACCUUUACUAUAGCUUGACACUGAACAUUGAGCCUUGAUGUGUAGGAUAGGUGGGAGGCUUUGAAGUGUGGACGCCAGUCUGCAUGGAGCCGACCUUGAAAUACCACCCUUUAAUGUUUGAUGUUCUAACGUGGACCCGUGAUCCGGGUUGCGGACAGUGUCUGGUGGGUAGUUUGACUGGGGCGGUCUCCUCCUAAAGAGUAACGGAGGAGCACGAAGGUUGGCUAAUCCUGGUCGGACAUCAGGAGGUUAGUGCAAUGGCAUAAGCCAGCUUGACUGCGAGCGUGACGGCGCGAGCAGGUGCGAAAGCAGGUCAUAGUGAUCCGGUGGUUCUGAAUGGAAGGGCCAUCGCUCAACGGAUAAAAGGUACUCCGGGGAUAACAGGCUGAUACCGCCCAAGAGUUCAUAUCGACGGCGGUGUUUGGCACCUCGAUGUCGGCUCAUCACAUCCUGGGGCUGAAGUAGGUCCCAAGGGUAUGGCUGUUCGCCAUUUAAAGUGGUACGCGAGCUGGGUUUAGAACGUCGUGAGACAGUUCGGUCCCUAUCUGCCGUGGGCGCUGGAGAACUGAGGGGGCUGCUCCUAGUACGAGAGGACCGGAGUGGACGCAUCACUGGUGUUCGGGUUGUCAUGCCAAUGGCACUGCCCGGUAGCUAAAUGCGGAAGAGAUAAGUGCUGAAAGCAUCUAAGCACGAAACUUGCCCCGAGAUGAGUUCUCCCUGACCCUUUAAGGGUCCUGAAGGAACGUUGAAGACGACGACGUUGAUAGGCCGGGUGUGUAAGCGCAGCGAUGCGUUGAGCUAACCGGUACUAAUGAACCGUGAGGCUUAACCUU